GGUGGCACAGUGGUUAAAGCGCUUGGCUACUAACCAAAAGGUAAGUGGUUAGAAUCCACUAGCCACCC
This 68-nucleotide transfer RNA is filed under the name Loxodonta africana (African savanna elephant). It matches the Rfam family "tRNA". From Rfam's summary of the family: Transfer RNA (tRNA) molecules are approximately 80 nucleotides in length. Their secondary structure includes four short double-helical elements and three loops (D, anti-codon, and T loops). The record is from Rfam by way of RNAcentral. Lineage: Eukaryota; Metazoa; Chordata; Mammalia; Proboscidea; Elephantidae.